Molecule: ribosomal RNA, 437 nt
Filed under: uncultured bacterium
Lineage: Bacteria
Description: bacterial SSU rRNA
Rfam family: Bacterial small subunit ribosomal RNA
Source: RNAcentral
UACGGGAGGCAGCAGUGGGGAAUAUUGGACAAUGGGCGAAAGCCUGAUCCAGCCAUGCCGCAUGAGUGAAGAAGGCCUUCGGGUUGUAAAGCUCUUUAGUGAGAAAGAUAAUGACGGUACUCACAGAAGAAGUCCUGGCUAACUCCGUGCCAGCAGCCGCGGUAAUACGGAGAGGGCUAGCGUUAUUCGGAAUUAUUGGGCGUAAAGAGCGCGUAGGCUGUAUUAGUAAGUUAAAAGUGAAAUCCCAAAGCUUAACUUUGGAAUUGCUUUUUAAAACUGCUAGUCUAAGAGAUUGAAAGAGGAUAGAGGAAUUCCUAGUGUAGAGGUGAAAUUACGUAAAUAUUAGGAGGAACACCAGUGGACGAAGGCGUCUAUCUGGUUCAAAUCUGACGCUGAGGCGCGGAAGGGCGUGGGGAGCGAAACAGGGAUUAGAUACC